GGAGGCUUAGCUCAGCUGGUUAGAGCGCCUGCUUCACACGCAGGAGGUCGAGAGUUCGAGUCUCCCAGUCUCCACCA
Molecule: transfer RNA, 77 nt
Filed under: Oscillibacter valericigenes
Lineage: Bacteria; Bacillati; Bacillota; Clostridia; Eubacteriales; Oscillospiraceae
Also listed under: 4 other names
Description: tRNA-Val
Rfam family: tRNA
About the family: Transfer RNA (tRNA) molecules are approximately 80 nucleotides in length. Their secondary structure includes four short double-helical elements and three loops (D, anti-codon, and T loops).
Source: RNAcentral